GACGAACGCUGGCGGCGUGCUUAACACAUGCAAGUCGAACGGAAAGGCCCUGCUUUUGUGGGGUGCUCGAGUGGCGAACGGGUGAGUAACACGUGAGUAACCUGCCCUUGACUUUGGGAUAACUUCAGGAAACUGGGGCUAAUACCGGAUAGGAGCUCCUGCUGCAUGGUGGGGGUUGGAAAGUUUCGGCGGUUGGGGAUGGACUCGCGGCUUAUCAGCUUGUUGGUGGGGUAGUGGCUUACCAAGGCUUUGACGGGUAGCCGGCCUGAGAGGGUGACCGGCCACAUGGGGACUGAGAGACGGCCCAGACUCCUACGGGAGGCAGCGGGGGGGAAUAUGGCACAAGGGGCGGAAGCCUGAUGCAGCAACGCCGCGUGCGGGAUGACGGCCUUCGGGUGGUAAACCGCUUUCGCCUGUGACGAAGCGUGAGGGACGGUAAUGGGUAAAGAAGCACCGGCUAACUACGU
Molecule: ribosomal RNA, 467 nt
Filed under: uncultured bacterium
Lineage: Bacteria
Description: partial 16S ribosomal RNA
Rfam family: Bacterial small subunit ribosomal RNA
Source: RNAcentral